AAUCAACGCUGGCGGCGUGCCUAACACAUGCAAGUCGAACGCGAAAACCCCGCAAGGGGUUAGUAGAGUGGCAAACGGGUGAGUAACGCGUGGGUGACCUGCCUUCGAGCGGGGGAUAACGUUCCGAAAGGGACGCUAAUACCGCAUAACAUCCUGCCCUUGAACGGGUGGAGAUCAAAGCUGGGGAUCGCAAGACCCGGCACUUGAAGAGGGGCCCGCGUCUGAUUAGCUAGUUGGUGAGGUAACGGCUCACCAAGGCAACGAUCAGUAUCCGGCCUGAGAGGGGCGGACGGACACACUGGGACUGAGACACGGCCCAGACUCCUACGGGAGCAGCAGUGGGGAAUUGUUCGCAAUGGGCGCAAGCCUGACGACGCAACGCCGCGUGGAGGAUGAAGA
Molecule: ribosomal RNA, 399 nt
Filed under: uncultured bacterium
Lineage: Bacteria
Description: bacterial SSU rRNA
Rfam family: Bacterial small subunit ribosomal RNA
Source: RNAcentral